Molecule: non-coding RNA, 85 nt
Filed under: bovine gut metagenome
Description: Purine riboswitch
Rfam family: Purine riboswitch aptamer (bases 11-85)
About the family: Riboswitches are metabolite binding domains within certain messenger RNAs that serve as precision sensors for their corresponding targets. Allosteric rearrangement of mRNA structure is mediated by ligand binding, and this results in modulation of gene expression.
Source: RNAcentral
AAGGUGUAAAGUAUCGUAUAAUCCCUCAGAUAUGGUGGGGGAGUCUCUACCCUGGUACCGUAAAUCCAGGACUAUGAUAGAAUUU